AACGAACGCUGGCGGCAUGCCUAACACAUGCAAGUCGAACGAGACCUUCGGGUCUAGUGGCGCACGGGUGCGUAACGCGUGGGAAUCUGCCCUUGGGUUCGGAAUAACAGUUGGAAACGACUGCUAAUACCGGAUGAUGACGUAAGUCCAAAGAUUUAUCGCCCAAGGAUGAGCCUGCGUAGGAUUAGCUAGUUGGUGAGGUAAAGGCUCACCAAGGCGACGAUCCUUAGCUGGUCUGAGAGGAUGAUCAGCCACACUGGGACUGAGACACGGCCCAGACUCCUACGGGAGGCAGCAGUGGGGAAUAUUGGACAAUGGGCGAAAGCCUGAUCCAGCAAUGCCGCGUGAGUGAUGAAGGCCUUAGGGUUGUAAAGCUCUUUUACCCGGGAUGAUAAUGACAGUACCGGGAGAAUAAGCUCCGGCUAACUCCGUG
This 433-nucleotide ribosomal RNA is filed under the name uncultured bacterium. RNAcentral's name for it is "partial 16S ribosomal RNA". It matches the Rfam family "Bacterial small subunit ribosomal RNA", at positions 29 to 507 of the family's 1533-position model. The record is from RNAcentral.